GUGCUGUGAUGAUUAAUUGUGCGCUCCAAGUGGAUAUUGGGUUACCCACUCUGUUCUGAUCUUUCAGACGAAAUAUGCGCAUCUGAGCCC
Molecule: small nucleolar RNA, 90 nt
Filed under: Erythranthe guttata (spotted monkey flower)
Lineage: Eukaryota; Viridiplantae; Streptophyta; Magnoliopsida; Lamiales; Phrymaceae
Description: Mimulus guttatus (spotted monkey flower) small nucleolar RNA snoR114
Rfam family: small nucleolar RNA snoR114
Source: Rfam by way of RNAcentral